Molecule: long non-coding RNA, 514 nt
Organism: Bubalus bubalis (water buffalo)
Lineage: Eukaryota; Metazoa; Chordata; Mammalia; Artiodactyla; Bovidae
Exons: 2
Source: RefSeq, a predicted model, not a curated record
CCCGCCACGACCCUGCGCGCGCCCCCGCUGGGGCCUGAUUAGCGUGCGGCCACGCAGAGAGCAAGAAAAGAAAGUCUCAGGAAACCAUUGCAGAGGGCGGGCCACGGUGGAAUGCCGAAUUACAUCUACAUAGCUAACAGGACAGCUUUUGGAGAAUGCUCCCCUGCCUGCUGUGCUCUGAGGACUGGAAGGAAGAGAGGCUGGUUUUAUCCUUGUAUCUCCGAAGAGCUGGGAGCAAGAGUGACAAUUUUGCGGCCAGGCUUGGUGGAGACAGCAAGAAUCAAGUGAGAAAACUCUUAUGGGGAAGUGAGCCAUGGAGACCGUCGAGCCGCCAGGUUUCCCCCUAAAUGUGGUCUUUGGAACACAGUUGUCCUCAAGCCCUGAGGGGCUUUCAGUUUUCACAUUGCAGGCAGAUUCUUUACCAUCUGAGCCACCAGGAAGCCCAUAUAUUUUAGGUUAAUAUAUUCUUUCAAAUGUAUCAAGUAUUGCAUAAUAAAAUUGUAUAUAACACAUA